GACGAACGCUGGCGGCGUGCUUAACACAUGCAAGUCGAACGGAAAGGCCCUGCUUUUGUUGGUUUUUAGAGUGGCGAACGGGUGCGUAACACGGGAGUACCCUGCCCUUGACUUUGGGAUAACUUCAGAAAACUGGGGCUAAUACCGGAAAGGACAUUCUCAUCCCUGGUGGGGAUUGGAAAGUUUCGGCGGUUGGGGAUGUACUUGCUGUUUAUCAGCUUGUUGGUGUGGUAGUGGCUUACCAGGGCUUCGACGGGUAGCCGGCCUGAGAGGGGGACCGGCAACAUGUGGACUGUGAUACGGGCGGGAGCAGUACGGGAGACAGCAGUGGGGAAGAGUGCAUGAUGGGGGGAAGCAGGAUGCAGCAACGCCGCGUGAGGGAUGGUGGCCUUCGUGUUGUAGACCGCAUUGGGCGGUGACGAAGACUGAGUGACGGUAACGUGUAAAUAAGCACCGGCUAACUACGUG
This 468-nucleotide ribosomal RNA is filed under the name uncultured bacterium. Its description in RNAcentral is "partial 16S ribosomal RNA". It matches the Rfam family "Bacterial small subunit ribosomal RNA", at positions 28 to 507 of the family's 1533-position model. The record is from RNAcentral.